Molecule: ribosomal RNA, 440 nt
Filed under: uncultured bacterium
Lineage: Bacteria
Description: bacterial SSU rRNA
Rfam family: Bacterial small subunit ribosomal RNA
Source: RNAcentral
CCUACGGGUGGCAGCAGUGGGGAAUAUUGGACAAUGGGCGCAAGCCUGAUCCAGCCAUGCCGCGUGAGUGAUGACGGCCUUAGGGUUGUAAAGCUCUUUCGCCAGGGACGAUAAUGACGGUACCUGGAUAAGAAGCCCCGGCUAACUUCGUGCCAGCAGCCGCGGUAAUACGAAGGGGGCUAGCGUUGUUCGGAAUUACUGGGCGUAAAGCGCGUGUAGGCGGGUCUUUAAGUCAGGGGUGAAAUGCCAAGGCUCAACCUUGGAACUGCCUUUGAUACUGGAGAUCUUGAGUCCGGGAGAGGUGAGUGGAACUGCGAGUGUAGAGGUGAAAUUCGUAGAUAUUCGCAAGAACACCAGUGGCGAAGGCGGCUCACUGGCCCGGAACUGACGCUGAGACGCGAAAGCGUGGGGAGCAAACAGGAUUAGAUACCCUUGUAGUC